CUUAUUAGUCGUGUAGAAUCAAGUAGGGAGGGUGAAUUAGGAAGUAAAGCUUUUUAAUUUUAUGUGGUGUGAGGUUCCAGGAGUAUUACAAUCCUUCCAAAUCCCUCCUACGUCAAGCCAAAGCCCAAAUCGAGAAGGGACAAAGAGCUUGAGGCCAACACUGGUCUUUGAGGACCAAAAAAUAGCAUCAUCUCAUCGAAAGAAGAGAAUCAAUGUUCAGCCAAUCCCAAUCUUGGCUCAUGGCCCUCAUGACUGAGAAGGGGAAGGAAUGAGGAAGCCUGCCUGCAUGCUAAGCCGCUUCAUUCUUGAUAUAUCUAACUU
This 321-nucleotide long non-coding RNA is filed under the name Carica papaya (papaya). RNAcentral describes it as "long non-coding RNA (CPAP_LNC008128)". Lineage: Eukaryota; Viridiplantae; Streptophyta; Magnoliopsida; Brassicales; Caricaceae. The record is from RNAcentral.